GACACGCUGGCGGCGUGCUUAACACAUGCAAGUCGAACGGUGAUCUUGAGAGCUUGCUCUUGGGUGAUCAGUGGCGAACGGGUGAGUAACACGUGAGUAACCUGCCCCUGACUCUGGAAUAACUUCGGGAAACCGAAGCUAAUACCGGAUAUGACACAGAGCCGCAUGGUUUCUGUGUGGAAAGUUUUCGGUUGGGGAUGGACUCGCGGCCUAUCAGCUUGUUGGUGAGGUAAUGGCUCACCAAGGCGACGACGGGUAGCCGGCCUGAGAGGGCGACCGGCCACACUGGGACUGAGACACGGCCCAGACUCCUACGGGAGGCAGCAGUGGGGAAUAUUGCACAAUGGGCGAAAGCCUGAUGCAGCGACGCCGCGUGAGGGAUGAAGGCCUUCGGGUUGUAAACCUCUUUCAGUAGGGAAGAAGCGCAAGUGACGGUACCUACAGAAGAAGCACCGGCUAACUACGUG
RNAcentral lists this ribosomal RNA (467 nucleotides) under uncultured bacterium. Its description in RNAcentral is "bacterial SSU rRNA". It matches the Rfam family "Bacterial small subunit ribosomal RNA", at positions 33 to 507 of the family's 1533-position model. The record is from RNAcentral.